This 493-nucleotide ribosomal RNA is filed under the name uncultured bacterium. RNAcentral describes it as "partial 16S ribosomal RNA". It matches the Rfam family "Bacterial small subunit ribosomal RNA", at positions 28 to 506 of the family's 1533-position model. The record is from RNAcentral.
GACGAACGCUGGCGGCGUGCCUAAUACAUGCAAGUCGAACGCUGAAGGCGGAGCUUGCUUCUCUGGAUGAGUUGCGAACGGGUGAGUAACGCGUAGGUAACCUGCCUUUUAGCGGGGGAUAACUAUUGGAAACGAUAGCUAAUACCGCAUAAUAGUAGCUGUUGCAUGGCAUUUGCUUAAAAGUUUCAAUUGCAUCACUACCAGAUGCACCUGCGUUGUAUUAUCUUGUUGGUGGGGUAACGGCUCGCCAAGGCGAGAAGACAUCGCCGACCGGAGAGGGGGAUGGGGGACUCAGGGAGUGAGAGACGGCCCAGACUCUGACGGAAGGCCGAAGUAGGGAAGCGACGGCAAUGACGGAAGUCUGACCGAGCAACGCCGCGUGAGUGAAGAAGGUGUUCGGAGCGUAAAGCUCUGUUGUAAGAGAAGAACGGGUGUGGGAGGGGAAAGUGCGCGCUGGGACGGUAUCUUACAAGAAAGGGACGCCUAACUACGU